RNAcentral lists this long non-coding RNA (1562 nucleotides) under Anser brachyrhynchus (Pink-footed goose). Its description in RNAcentral is "lncRNA (ENSABRG00000018720.1)". The record is from RNAcentral. Lineage: Eukaryota; Metazoa; Chordata; Aves; Anseriformes; Anatidae.
CUGCAGAGGGACAGCAAUGUUUAGGCUGUUACUGAAUCUCUGUGUAUGUAAGAAAUUCCAGGCUGAAUGAUUUCUGUUAGGUAUUGGACUUUCUGGAUAUAUAUCUAUGUCAAUGAGAGGUGCAAAGGCCAAGCAUGUCCCAGAGCAAAGCAUCCAGAAAUUCAUAUAAUGUAUUUCAUUAUGCCUAUGCAGAACUGCCUUGACUUACACAAACGUAAUCAGAGGGGCAGGAAGGUGUUAUAUUCAAAAAGCUGAGCACAUGUGUUUUCAUGAGAUCAGGAUAUUAAAUUACAAAAGAGUGAUGGUACAGAGGUUGUGUCUUCUGCUCAAGUGUAAAAUCAAUGUGUGCCCCAAUGGCAUCCUAAGACUGGUACUCCAACAAUGGAGGUUGCAGUUGGAAUCAUGAGAAAAGCCAUAAAGGGAGGAAAGCUUGAAGACUACGAUAUUCUCAUUUCUCAAAGUACCCUGUCUGUGUUUAACAGCAACUAUCCCUAACAAAGUGGGCUGAUGAUAAGGAUUUAAACAACCCCGGCCUUGAGAAUCUUGUAAUGUCACUCAUGUUUGCUUUGUGUACAGAGGAUUUAAAAGUCUAGUCAGUAGCCUUGAAUUUUAUUCAAAAUAAGAUACAGUAAUGACAGCUGGAGGCUGUAAAUACAACUGCGUUGUUUAUCUUAAAGUUUGCAGAUCCAAGCAAUGAGUUAUUCUCCUUUAUUGUGACUGACCUUAAAACCCAACAGUAUAGAGGCACAAAACUGAGCUUUCCUCACCACAUUUCUAUGAGACAAGUCAGUGACAGCUUUGACAGCAUGUUUCAAUACAUAUAUUACCUGAAGGCGAGUUCGGCACUACAGUUAUGUAAUUUUUACUAUCCGAUCAUCUCUAGUUCCCCUUUAUACUACUGUCACCUCCCAGGGAUGCCUGAGAACAAAAUCAGUUGCACGAGGUACAUACACAACAGGUUAGUAGAUUUGGGGUUUAACUUAGGUUCAAAGCAUGGUCCUUCAACAGACCUUUUAAUCUGACUAGGUAGCUUGCUCAACAGAGAAUGUCCAUCACAGACAUAAAAUACAACAUCUGGAAAUGAGCACACUGUGAACUAGUGUUACCUCAAAUUAAGGACUCCUACAAACCCGAAGAAGGGAAGAGCCAUUCUGGGGUCCAAAGAAAAAAGGGAGGGUGAACCAGUUAUCCUCCCUGCCCCAUGUGGGAUGGAGACUCGGACAGGCCCACGAGGCCCCAUCAGAGCCGAGGUUCCCAGGGGUCUACAGGCUCCUGAGUGCAAAGCCAGGAGGCGUCUUGCAGCCCUGUAGGGCUGCCACAUUCAUGGCUUUGCAGGUCAUUUGUGUGGAGAGGCUGCAAGGUAACCACAGCCAGACAGUGCUUGAGCUCGUGGUUCAAAGGCAGUCUACCCUCAGAGACUAGAACAGGCAGGAAACCAAGCAGACUUCUGGUUUUGUGAACAACUGAAACUGAUUGACAUUUUCCUAUAAAAUUUCCAGUUAACUGGCAGAGCCAUAAACUAUGGUUUAAAAGAUAAAUAAAAGUCUUCAGGGAGAAAUACA